GCCGGCUCGGAUCCAACCCAACCUUGCCAAGGUUGGGGUCGAGGGUUCGAAUCCCUUCGCCCGCUCCA
This 68-nucleotide transfer RNA is filed under the name Methylocystis sp. MitZ-2018. RNAcentral's name for it is "tRNA-Gly". The record is from RNAcentral. Lineage: Bacteria; Pseudomonadati; Pseudomonadota; Alphaproteobacteria; Hyphomicrobiales; Methylocystaceae.